AGUGAGCGCUGGCGGUAGGCCUAACACAUGCCAGUCGAACGGCAGCACAGUAAUAGCUUGCUCUUACGGGUGGCGAGUGGCGGACGGUUGAGGAAUACAUCGGUAUCUACUUUUUCUUGGGGGAUAACGUAGGGAAUCUUACGCUAAUACCGCAUACGACCUACGGGUGAAAGCAGCGGAUCUUCGGACCUUGCGCGAUUGUAUGAGCCGAUGUCGGAUUAGCUAGUUGGCGGGGUAAAGGCCCACCAAGGCGACGAUCCGUAGCUGGUCUGAGAGGAUGAUCAGCCACACUGGAACUGAGACACGGUCCAGACUCCUACGGGAGGCAGCAGUGGGGAAUAUUGGACAAUGGGCGAAAGCCUGAUCCAGCCAUGCCGCGUGGGUGAAGAAGGCCUUCGGGUUGUAAAGCACUUUUGUUGGGAAGGAAAAGCAGCAGGUUAAUACCCCGCUGUUCUGACGGUACCAAAAGAAUAAGCACCGGCUAACUUCGUG
RNAcentral lists this ribosomal RNA (492 nucleotides) under uncultured bacterium. Its description in RNAcentral is "partial 16S ribosomal RNA". It matches the Rfam family "Bacterial small subunit ribosomal RNA", at positions 29 to 507 of the family's 1533-position model. The record is from RNAcentral.